GCCGACUUAGCUCAGCAGGCAGAGCAACUGACUUGUAAUCAUCAGGUCACCGGUUCGAUUCCGGUAAUCGGCACCA
RNAcentral lists this transfer RNA (76 nucleotides) under Escherichia coli. Its description in RNAcentral is "tRNA-Thr". It matches the Rfam family "tRNA". From Rfam's summary of the family: Transfer RNA (tRNA) molecules are approximately 80 nucleotides in length. Their secondary structure includes four short double-helical elements and three loops (D, anti-codon, and T loops). Further hydrogen bonds mediate the characteristic L-shaped molecular structure. tRNAs have two regions of fundamental functional importance: the anti-codon, which is responsible for specific mRNA codon recognition, and the 3' end, to which the tRNAs corresponding amino acid is attached (by aminoacyl-tRNA synthetases). tRNAs cope with the degeneracy of the genetic code in two manners: having more than one tRNA (with a specific anti-codon) for a particular amino acid; and 'wobble' base-pairing, i.e. permitting non-standard base-pairing at the 3rd anti-codon position. Lineage: Bacteria; Pseudomonadati; Pseudomonadota; Gammaproteobacteria; Enterobacterales; Enterobacteriaceae. The record is from RNAcentral. RNAcentral also lists the same sequence under 1 other name.